Lolium rigidum is the source of this 635-nucleotide long non-coding RNA. RefSeq lists it as uncharacterized. The record is from RefSeq and is a predicted model, not a curated record. NCBI's taxonomy places the organism in Eukaryota, Viridiplantae, Streptophyta, Magnoliopsida, Poales, Poaceae. The transcript has 3 exons.
CCUCGCUCUGGCCGCCACCACUCCCUUCCUUUCCUCUUAACCUUUGUCUGUGAGAAAACGUACCAGGCACGUACGACCACCAUGGCACCGCGUCCUCCUCCUCAUCUCCCGCCAAACCAGACCAUCCCCCGCCGUUCCGAGGGCAUCGGAGGAUGCCCCUCGUCGUCCUCUUCAUCUACGUGCAAGGAAUCGACCUGGGAGGCCUUCAAUCGUUGCCGAAUCGCCGUUCCCUUCUCCAACCUUGAGCAGCAAAUUCUUCAAUUCCGGCCAUCUUCGACCUUCCCUACCAUCCCCGACCACAUGUACAUGUUCAGGCUUAUCACCGUCUGUCUCCAGGGACUAUACUACGGUCCAUGGCGCCCCUCACUCGCAUCCCCUUCAAGCUGCGCAUCUAGAUCUCUGUCUCCCGCGCCCUGGUUCCCCCUCAAUCGACCGGUCCGUGCUCCAGCAGGGUCGUCCGCCAUGGCUGGGCUGCACAAGCUCGUCCCCACCUUUUGAUUGCUCUUGUUGGGUCGCAGCAAUAUCUUGAUAAGAUCAGCCUGGCAGCCUAACUGAUCAUCCGCAGAUGGGCCUCGGCCCAGAUCUAUCCGGCGCAGCUCCUUGCCCGCGCGGCCCGUAGCUUCCCGUCGCCGCGU